This is a long non-coding RNA of Acipenser ruthenus (sterlet), 499 nucleotides long. RefSeq lists it as uncharacterized. Lineage: Eukaryota; Metazoa; Chordata; Actinopteri; Acipenseriformes; Acipenseridae. The transcript has 3 exons. The record is from RefSeq and is a predicted model, not a curated record.
GCUUGCUGUCGUAAGAGUCUUUGUUUACGGCAAGUCGCCGUGUUACCAGUGUUUGGUGUGUGCCUGUAGAUAGCAACGGUGUCUCAUCUUGUUAAUUAAAUAUUUAUAUUUUUAAUAAAAUAUGAGCAUGCCAAAACUCAGCAAGGAGACCAAGCAGCGGCUGCAGCAAGUUUUCCAAUGUGGACAGUUCGCCAUACGAUGGGGAUUCAUCCCUACUAUUCUAUACCUGGGUUUUAAGAGAGGUGCUGAUCCUGGGUUGCCAGAGCCUACUGUUUUAAGUUUGCUUUGGGGUUGAGAUAGUUGGAGACCAAAGUAUCUGUUGUCUGCUUAAGGAAGAGACUUGAUGGAAAAUCUUAUUCAAUUCUGUCCAUUGGGAUCCUCUACAAACUGAUUGGCUUCACUGCAGCACUUGUUUACAUGUAACCAUUAGAUUUUCUAAGGGAAUUUCUACGACUGUGAUUAUCUGUUGCAUUAAAUGCAGUAAACCCUUUACAUAAGA